This 1204-nucleotide long non-coding RNA is filed under the name Homo sapiens (human). RNAcentral describes it as "HSALNT0289717". The record is from RNAcentral. Lineage: Eukaryota; Metazoa; Chordata; Mammalia; Primates; Hominidae.
AGGCUGGAGUGCAGUGGCGCAAUCUCGGCUCACUGCAGGCUCUGCCUCCCGGGUUCACGCCAUUCUCCUGCCUCAGCCUCCUGAGUAGCUGGGACUACAGGUGUGCACCACCAUGGCCAGCUAAUUUUUUUUGUUGUUUUUUUGUUUGUUUUUAAGAUGGAGUCUUGCUCUUGUUGUCCAGGCUGGAGUGCAAUGGCAUGAUUUCGGCUCACUGCAAUCUCUGCCUCCUGGGUUCAAGCGAUCCUCCUGCCUCAGCCUCCCAAGUAGCUGAGGUUAUAGGUGCCCACCACCACGCCCAGCUAAUUUUUUUUUUUUUUUUUUUUGAGACGGAGCCUCGCUCUUUCGCCCAAGCUAGAGUGCAGUGGCGUGAUCUUGGCUCACUGCAAGCUUUGCCUCCCAGGUUCACGCCAUUCUCCUGCCUCAGCCUCCCGAGUAGCUGGUACUACAGGUGCCCGCCACCAAGCCCAGCUAAUUUCUGUAUUUUUUAGUAGAGACGGGGUUUCACCGUGUUAGCCAGGAUGAUCUGGAUCUCCUGAGCUGGUGAUCCGCCCUCCUCGGCUUCCCAAAGUGCUGGGAUUACAGGCGUGAGCCACCGUGCCUGGCCUGGAUAUGUUAACAUAAUAAUUUAAGAUAAAAUGAAUGAGUUAAUCAGCAGAUUAGACGGAAGGGAGUAAUUUGAUGAGGGGGUAAAAGAAAAUGGUGAGGAUAUGGAGAAGGAAUUCGUGGUGAAACUGGACACAAUUGUUGAGGGAUUUCCAGAGCUGAUGAACGUUGUGGACCUGUGGCUUACACCAAACAGGGUGGGUGUGAGCUCGGCACAGCUAGGACGCGCUGGUGAGACCAAGGAACACCAAAGUCAGUGAGGAGAUCUUAGUGUCUCCCGGAGAGAGCCGACCGAGGCUGGCGCAUGUCUGAAUGCGAGCCUGGCCAUAGGCUGAGCCCGGCUGCCGCCACCCCUGGGCUUCUGGAACCCUGGGCUUGGCCGAGCGUGGGUGUCUCCCCUGGGAGCCCCAGAGCCCUGGACGAUGGAGGCCGGGACCUGGGCAGGCGCGGGAGGCCUUGGGCUGGGGCCUGCGCCCCUCCUCUGAGGGCUGCCUGCCGGGCUCUGCCCUGCCCUGCCCUUCCCUCCCCUCUCUUCCCCUCCCCUCUCCUCUCUUUCCCUCACCUCCCCUCUCUUUGCCUCCCCUCCCCUCCCCUCCCCUCU